RNAcentral lists this transfer RNA (73 nucleotides) under Ornithorhynchus anatinus (platypus). It matches the Rfam family "tRNA". Rfam says of the family: Transfer RNA (tRNA) molecules are approximately 80 nucleotides in length. Their secondary structure includes four short double-helical elements and three loops (D, anti-codon, and T loops). Lineage: Eukaryota; Metazoa; Chordata; Mammalia; Monotremata; Ornithorhynchidae. The record is from Rfam by way of RNAcentral.
GGCUCUGUAGAUAAGGGGUUAGAGCACUGGUUUUGUAAACCUGGGAUCGUGAGUUCAAAUAUCACCAGGGCCU